Rhodobacter aestuarii is the source of this 91-nucleotide regulatory RNA element. It matches the Rfam family "Glycine riboswitch aptamer". From Rfam's summary of the family: This family represents the bacterial glycine riboswitch. The record is from Rfam. NCBI's taxonomy places the organism in Bacteria, Pseudomonadati, Pseudomonadota, Alphaproteobacteria, Rhodobacterales.
AAGUCAGGAACGGGAGACACUGGCCGCAAGGUCAGGGCCGAAGGAGCAACCGCCCCGGUAAACUCUCAGGCAAAAGGACCGGUCUGACAAA